UCCGCGCUGCCCCUGCCUCCCGGGAGAACCUGGCGGAGGCAGCGGUGCCGGCGCGGGAGGAGAAGGCAGAGGCCGUCCCCAACGCCGAGAAGAGUCCCCUGAGCACCGUCAAGGCUGAGAGGAAGGUCUCCAGCAGCCCCAUGAAGGCGGUGGAGGGCACCGACAUGAUGAAAGCAGCCAUGUACUCCGUGGAGAUCACGGUGGAGAAGGACAGAGUGACUGGGGAGACCAAGGUCCUGUCCAGCAGCACCCUGCUCCCGCAGGAGCACUGCCCGCAGGGCGUCAAGGUGUACGAGGACGAGCUGCG
Tinamus guttatus (white-throated tinamou) is the source of this 307-nucleotide non-coding RNA. The record is from RefSeq and is a predicted model, not a curated record. NCBI's taxonomy places the organism in Eukaryota, Metazoa, Chordata, Aves, Tinamiformes, Tinamidae.